AGUCACUGUCACGCGGCGCAAAGAG
This 25-nucleotide microRNA is filed under the name Patiria miniata (bat star). RNAcentral's name for it is "Pmi-Mir-210-v2_5p* (star (passenger))". The record is from RNAcentral. Lineage: Eukaryota; Metazoa; Echinodermata; Asteroidea; Valvatida; Asterinidae.